RNAcentral lists this ribosomal RNA (484 nucleotides) under uncultured bacterium. RNAcentral's name for it is "partial 16S ribosomal RNA". It matches the Rfam family "Bacterial small subunit ribosomal RNA", at positions 30 to 507 of the family's 1533-position model. The record is from RNAcentral.
AUUGAACGCUGGCGGCAGGCCUAACACAUGCAAGUCGAGCGGUAGAGCGAAGCUUGCUUCUCUUGAGAGCGGCGGACGGGUGAGUAAUGCCUAGGAAUCUGCCUGGUAGUGGGGGAUAACGUUCGGAAACGGACGCUAAUACCGCAUACGUCCUACGGGAGAAAGCAGGGGACCUUCGGGCCUUGCGCUAUCAGAUGAGCCUAGGUCGGAUUAGCUAGUUGGUGGGGUAAUGGCUCACCAAGGCGACGAUCCGUAACUGGUCUGAGAGGAUGAUCAGUCACACUGGAACUGAGACACGGUCCAGACUCCUACGGGAGGCAGCAGUGGGGAAUAUUGGACAAUGGGCGAAAGCCUGAUCCAGCCAUGCCGCGUGUGUGAAGAAGGUCUUCGGAUUGUAAAGCACUUUAAGUUGGGAGGAAGGGCAGUAAAUUAAUACUUUGCUGUUUUGACGUUACCGACAGAAUAAGCACCGGCUAACUCUGCG